AACUGAUACUACCUGCGGGAACCUGCGGAAGGAUCAUUAAUGAGUGUCAAUGGUGGCUAACCCCGCCGACCUCCAACCCAUUGUUGUUACUACCUGGUUGCCUCGGGGUGAAAGCCUGACGUCUUCGAAUUCUCGGAACGUUCGGCCUAGCCCCGGCGGACACACAUAACUCUGUUUUAACUACAUGUCUGAAUACAAAUCAAUUUAUACAAAACUUUUAACAACGGAUCUCUAGAUCGG
This 240-nucleotide unclassified non-coding RNA is filed under the name soil metagenome. RNAcentral describes it as "partial contains 5.8S ribosomal RNA, internal transcribed spacer 2, and large subunit ribosomal RNA". The record is from RNAcentral.